Molecule: ribosomal RNA, 253 nt
Filed under: uncultured bacterium
Lineage: Bacteria
Description: partial 16S ribosomal RNA
Rfam family: Bacterial small subunit ribosomal RNA
Source: RNAcentral
UACGAAGGGGGCUAGCGUUGUUCGGAAUUACUGGGCGUAAAGCGCGCGCAGGCGGCUAUCCAAGUCAGUGGUGAAAGCCCGGAGCUCAACUCCGGAACUGCCAUUGAAACUGUUUAGCUUGAGUAUGAGAGAGGUGAGUGGAAUUCCCAGUGUAGAGGUGAAAUUCGUAGAUAUUGGGAAGAACAUCGGUGGCGAAGGCGGCUCACUGGCUCAUUACUGACGCUCAGGCGCGACAGCGUGGGGAUCAAACAGG